GAUUGUGUUCAUUAGGCACCAAACAGAAGAGAAUGGAACAGGUAUAACUGAACUUUUGGUUCAGAAGGUCAGGGUUGUGUUCAUUAGGCACCAAACAGAAGAGAAUGGAACAGGUAUAACCAAGCUUUUGGUUCAGAAGGUCAGGGUUGUGUUCAUUAGGCACCAAACAGAAGAGAAUGGAACCGGUAUAACCAAGCUUUUUGUUCAGAAGGUCAGGGUUGUGUUCAUUAGGCCGAGCUGGACUUCAGUUUUCCAUAGCAACACAUUUUUAAAACAUAUUAUUUUCGCUGCAGGGACGUUGUUGGACGGGGGAAGUGACUGUGUAUGUGGUGUUGUUCAUAAAGCUUAACGGUGUUGUGUCUCUCCCUACAGGUCUAGUAUUAGACAGUGUGUUGUCUCUCCCUACAGGUCUAGUAUUAGACAGUGUGUUGUCUCUCCCUACAGGUCUAGUAUUAGACAGUGUGUUGUCUCUCCCUACAGGUCUAGUAUUAGACAGUGUGUUGUCUCUCCCUACAGGUCUAGUAUUAGACAGUGUGUUGUCUCUCCCUACAGGUCUAGUAUUAGACAGUGUGUUGUCUCUCCCUACAGGUCUAGUAUUGGACAGUGUGUUGUCUCUCCCUACAGGUCUAGUAUUAGACAGUGUGUUGUCUCUCCCUACAGGUCUAGUAUUAGACAGUGUGUUGUCUCUCCCUACAGGUCUAGUAUUAGACAGUGUGUUGUCUCUCCCUACAGGUCUAGUAUUGGACAGUGUGUUGUCUCUCCCUACAGGUCUAGUAUUAGACAGUGUGUUGUCUCUCCCUACAGGUCUAGUAUUAGACAGUGUGUUGUCUCUCCCUACAGGUCUAGUAUUAGACAGUGUGUUGUCUCUCCCUACAGGUCUAGUAUUAGACAGUGUGUUGUCUCUCCCUACAGGUCUAGUAUUAGACAGUGUGUUGUCUCUCCCUACAGGUCUAGUAUUAGACAGUGUGUUGUCUCUCCCUACAGGUCUAGUAUUAGACAGUGUGUUGUCUCUCCCUACAGGUCUAGUAUUAGACAGUGUGUUGUCUCUCCCUACAGGUCUAGUAUUAGACAGUGUGUUGUCUCUCCCUACAGGUCUAGUAUUAGACAGUGUGUUGUCUCUCCCUACAGGUCUAGUAUUAGACAGUGUGUACAGGGUGUUGUCUCUCCCUACAGGUCUAGUAUUAGACAGUGUGUACAGGGUGUUGUCUCUCCCUACAGGUCUAGUAUUGGACAGUGUGUACAGGGUGUUGUCUCUCCCUACAGGUCUAGUAUUAGACAGUGUGUACAGGGUGUUGUCUCUCUCCCUACAGGUCUAGUAUUAGACAGUGACAGUGUGUACAGGGUGUUGUCUCUCUCCCUACAGGUCUAGUAUUGGACAGUGUGUACAGGGUGUUGUCUCUCUCCCUACAGGUCUAGUAUUGGACAGGGACAGUGUGUACAGGGUGUUGUCUCUCUCCCUACAGGUCUAGUAUUGGACAGGUACAGGGUGUACAGGGUGUUGUAUCUCCCUAAAGGUCUAGUAUUGGACAGUGACAGUGUGUACAGGGUGUUGUAUCUCCCUAAAGGUCUAGUAUUAGACAGUGACAGAGUGUACAGGGUGUUGUGUCUCUCCCUGCAGGUCUAGUAUUGGACAGUGUGUACAGGGUGUUGUCUCUCCCUACAGGUCUAGUAUUAGACAGUGUGUACAGGGUGUUGUCUCUCUCCCUACAGGUCUAGUAUUGGACAGUGACAGUGUGUACAGGGUGUUGUCUCUCCCUACAUGUCUAGUAUUGGACAGUGUGUACAGGGUGUUGUGUCUCUCCCUACAGGUCUAGUAUUAGACGGGGACAGUGUGUACAGGGUGUUGUCUCUCUCCCUACAGGUCUAGUAUUAGACAGUGACAGUGUGUACAGGGUGUUGUCUCUCCCUACAGGUCUAGUAUUAGACAGUGACAGUGUGUACAGGGUGUUGUCUCUCCCUACAGGUCUAGUAUUAGACAGUGACAGUGUGUACAGGGUGUUGUCUCUCCCUACAGGUCUAGUAUUGGACAGUGUGUACAGGGUGUUGUGUCUCCCUACAGGUCUAGUAUUAGACAGUGACAGUGUGUACAGGGUGUUGUCUCUCCCUACAGGUCUAGUAUUAGACAGUGACAGUGUGUACAGCGUGUUGUUCAUAAGGCUUAACGUUGUGUC
This is a long non-coding RNA of Oncorhynchus keta (chum salmon), 2171 nucleotides long. RefSeq lists it as uncharacterized. The record is from RefSeq and is a predicted model, not a curated record. The transcript is spliced from 4 exons. NCBI's taxonomy places the organism in Eukaryota, Metazoa, Chordata, Actinopteri, Salmoniformes, Salmonidae.